UACGGGGGGGGCAAGCGUUGUUCGGAAUUACUGGGCGUAAAGGGCUCGUAGGCGGCCAACUAAGUCGGAUGUGAAAUCCCCAGGCUUAACCUGGGAACUGCAUCCGAUACUGGAUGGCUUGAAUCCGGGAGAGGGAUGCAGAAUUCCAGGUGUAGCGGUGAAAUGCGUAGAUAUCUGGAGGAACACCCGUGGCGAAGGCGGUUCUCUGGGACGGUACUGACGCUGAGACGCGAAAGCGUGGGGAGCGAACAGG
Molecule: ribosomal RNA, 253 nt
Filed under: uncultured bacterium
Lineage: Bacteria
Description: partial 16S ribosomal RNA
Rfam family: Bacterial small subunit ribosomal RNA
Source: RNAcentral